CAUGAAGCUGGAAUCGCUAGUAAUCGCGGAUCAGAAUGCCGCGGUGAAUACGUUCCCGGGUCUUGUACACACCGCCCGUCACACCAUGGGAGUCGGAAAUGCCCGAAGUCUGUGACCCAACCAUUAAGGAGGGAGCAGCCGAAGGCAGGUCGGAUGACUGGGGUGAAGUCGUAACAAGGUAAC
Molecule: ribosomal RNA, 183 nt
Filed under: uncultured bacterium
Lineage: Bacteria
Description: partial 16S ribosomal RNA
Rfam family: Bacterial small subunit ribosomal RNA
Source: RNAcentral